This 5502-nucleotide long non-coding RNA is filed under the name Sus scrofa (pig). Its description in RNAcentral is "lncRNA (ENSSSCG00060003787.1)". Lineage: Eukaryota; Metazoa; Chordata; Mammalia; Artiodactyla; Suidae. The record is from RNAcentral.
GGGGUCAAAUCAGAGCUGCAGCUGCUGGCCUAUGCCAUAGCCAUGGCGAUAUCAUAUCUGAGCCACAUCUGUGACCUACACUGCAUCUUGCAGCAAGACUGGAUCCUUAACCCACUAAGCAUGGGCAGGGAUGGAACCCACAUUCUCACAGAGAUAAUGUCAAGUCCUUAACCCCCUGAGCCACAAGGGAAACUCCUUUUUUAAAAAAAAUACAGAUUGUGGAGUUCCUAUCGUGGCUCAGUGGUUAACAAAUCCAACUAGGAACCAUGAGGUUGCGGGUUCAAUCCCUGGCCUUGUUGUGGGUUAAGGAUCUGGCAUUGCCAUCGGCUGUGGUAUAAGUCGCAGACACAGCUCAAAUCCCGCGUUGCUAUGGCUCUGGCAUAAGCCAGUGGCUACAGCUCUGAUUAGACCCCUAGCCUGGGAACCUCCAUAUGCCGCAGGAGCGGCCCUAGAAAUGGCAGAAAGACAAAAAACAAACAAACGAACAAAAAAAGCAGAUUCUAAAAUCUCAUUGAAAAUCUAGAUUUUGAUAUUUGUUUUGUAUUAAGUUUUUGUUACAUGCACUUGGUAAAACACAAAAUUCAAAUGAUACAGAGGAUCAUAGAUUUUCUUGAUCCCUCUCUCAGUUUUAUAUUUUAAAAGUAUUUUUCCAUAAAUGUUUAUGUUUAUAUGAACAUAUGAGUGAAAGAGACAAUGAAUUCAUGAUAAACAUUUUUCUAUUCUAGGUACUCUUAAUUUCUUUUUUAGUGAUUAACUUUCAUGUAUUUGUAUUGCUUUACGGCUUUCUGCUUUCUUUUAUUUCACUUUUGUUGUCAUUGCUUUAGUAUUUUUAAAUUAAACUCUUACCUUUUCUUCUCUCCUACUGAAAUUUUUUAUUACAUAAGUUUCAAGUGUUAUCCCUUUGAUGCUUGACAGGCAUUGUGGUCCUCACAAUGGUAGGGGGAGGAGGGCUUCACAGUGCCAGCAGCAGGAGGGUCCCACACGUCCCUGCGAAAACCAUGUACUAUGCUACAAUCUAUCGGUCCUUCAAAUGGCCAUCCAAGAGGUUCUCAUAUUUUUCUGAAAACCCACAGCUAACAACUAUUCCUGGAGAAAUAAUGAUUCUCUACUUGACAAAGACUGGACAUAUUUAGCUAGAUUAAUAUUAUUUGAACCUUCUAACUAUCGAAAGAGCCGACAUGGAGAACAGAAUCUAGAAUUAUCCUGGUAUCUUUUCCAGUUCUUUUCCCUGGUGUAUUGAGUUCGAGGGAUUUGGGGGCUGAUCAAAGAAACAGAUAUGGCCAUGAGGUGGCAGUAGCACACAGUGAGUUUUAUUUGGGCGGUGCUUUGGCAGGUUUGCACUUGGGGAAAAAGUCCCUCACAGCAGGAGACCUUCCAGAGCCAAUGGCUGGGAGACUAAUAUCUAGAAGAGGAGGAGGGCUGGGGGAAGUCCUCGAAAGAAGAGGAUCAGAGACAGCGGGGUUACCUGUCUAGGUGAUAUUGCUGAGCAGCAUGAUGGAGAGGCUGUGGGUCAGGGAGCUCUGAAGGGCAGCAGCAGCUUGGAGUCUUUCUUUUAUAGCCACUGCAUUUAUAUGAUAUAUGGCUAGUAGAUUUUGGGUGCAGUUUUCUUGGUAUGCAAAGCAGGAAGGCUCUAAAUAGCUACAACCUGCUUAUUUGGCCUACAACUGGAAUGACUAGAUAUGUAAAAACUGGACAUCUUUUGGUGGGUUUGGAGCUAUGGUCCCAGCCUGCUGUGAAGAAGUAGACAACAUAGGGCCAAUGUACAGAAGCCAUUUUUUGGUUUAUUAAUACAACAACUAGGUCUCACUAAUUUUCUUUGUGUAUGUGUGCUUUGUUUUAUUAUAACAUACUUCAAAUACACAUAAAUAUACACACCAAUAUAAUGUAUAACAUGUACAUACCAUCUAUAUUUGUUAACCUCAUCAUUUUGUCAUAAUUGCUCCAGGUUUUUUUUAGAGAAAUACAUCAUUAGAGUUGAAUUUCUCUUUGUGCCCUUCCCUUAAAACUAUUCCCCUUGUUGCCCCCUUUAGAGAUGUCUCCUAAGAUGUUUGGAUUCAUAUGCUACAUAUAUAUCAUUUAAAAUUAUGUUUGGUGAUAAUUUAAAACUUAAUAUAAAUGACAACAUAGCAUAAUGUGGUUUUCUGCCCUUUCCUUACAAUUUUGAAACUUAUCCAUCUAUAGAUUAAAUUUACUUGUUGUCGCUGUUAAAUAGUAUUUCAUUGGGUGAAUAUGACAUGAUUUUUGAAUAGUUUCAUAUUGAUGGACAUUUAAGUUGUUUUCCAGCAUCUUAAUUUUGCAAAAUGAUGCUGAAUAGAGCAUUUCUACACAUAUCUUCUUAUGUAAGUGCUGCUACUUGACUAAUCCAUUUCAGUACUCUAGAAAUAAAUUGGUAAAUAAUUAAUUCUCAAACACCCAUGUGCACAGGUCUGGGACUAUAAUGAAACUAGAUGUGAUUUCUCUUCUUAAUAAGUUUAUAAUCUUGGUUUAAUCUUGUAUGUAUUUCUAAAUAAGAAUGAUUCUAAUAUUUGAUAGUUUAAUUUUACCUCUAAUUUUGCUAGAUUUAAAUGUAUUUCUAAGAUAGAGGUAUUAUCAAUGUCAAUGCUUGAUUAUUUCUCUCAAUAUUUAGUUUUGGUAGUCCUCCAAGUUGCACAGGCAGAUGUGAAUGACUGAGUUGUAGUUUUGUCUUAAGGACAACAUUGUGUUAAAGAGCCUUUCUGAAUUUCUAACUGUCACUUGCUUGGUUAAUGAUUUAUUAAAUGCAUCAUGACAAUUAGAUAAAUGAGAUUUAUAAGAAAUAUUUUCCACUACAGCUCAAGUAAUUUAAAUCACUCUCCUAAGAGCUGUAUUUUGGGCAAAGUCAUAGUGGCAGGCACGUGACAUAGUAAGGAUAAUGAUCAGUAUAAGCUGAUAACUUCUAAUGGAAAAUAUAUACAGUUUUUGAACUGCAUUCUAAAUCACUUGUUUUUCAAGCAUUUAUUAUAUGAAAGAAACACAUAGAAAGUGGUUAGCUAAAACAGGUAGUUUGAAAAUAUUUUAGCAUUUUUAUCUAAACAAAUGUCAAUUUUUUUUUUGAAAAUGAAAAAUGCUAAGUAUAAUAAAACAGUGAUUAUGUUUUUCAUAGUUCAUUUGCCUUCUUUGCCCUGCAGACCUUGUGUGGAGGAAAAUGAGAUCCCGAGUGAAGUCUACAAUGUCAUUGACUCUGAAGAAGGACUCAGAGACCCAUUGGUGUUUAAUGACCCUUACUGGCCUAUGCAAUGGGAACUGGUAAGAUCUUUGGAAAUAGAUGGUUCUUUGGCAAUGUUAAGAAAUAUUAUUUUCGUCAUGUUUUAAUGCAGUAGACAGACACUUUUAUGCACUGCCUGCUUUUAUCUAUUGAUUUUGCAGAAAGAGACUUAGCAAACUUUUGAUGAAAUAUUACUGCCAGCUUAUUAGUGAGCACUAAUCUCUUUAAUUUGAUUACAUCCUUAGGGUUUGAUUUAGCCUAUAAAAGAUAUCAGUGAAAAACCUAAGACAUUUAAAUUUGGUAUAUGUAAACAGGCUCAUUACAUAGAAAUGUGGUUGCCAUUCAGGCUUGAAGUUCCUCUUUUUGCAUAACCAGAAUAUAUUCUAUAUUACUUCAAUAAUGAGGGAGAGAACUCUUUAUAGAAUAAGUGAAUGUUAGAACAUUGCACAACAAACUUUUUUCAUAAUGCUUAGAGUGUUGGACAUUUUAUGAAUACAUUGUUUUGUCAUUUAUACAUGACCGUGACAAUGGAAAAAGGUCUGAUAAAAGCACACAUCGUUUUUGAGCAUUAAUACAUUUUAAAAAGUUGAAGUUGGUAGCACUAAAUAUUUUAAAAGGAAGUAUUUGGAAUGUGAAGGUGACAUAGUGAUAAUAUAAAAGAGAAGUUGAAGACCUUGUUGUAUCCAUACUUAGUUCCUCAUAGGUUUGUAAACUAUAUUGUGUUGUAGAUGGUCUUGUGUUAUAAAAUGAGGAAAAGCUUAGGUGCAUGUCAUCAUUUUCAUAGAAAUAACGAGGUUAAAGGGGGAAAACUUACAGUAGCUUUUUUGUUUUUUUACGCUGAUUAUUGGCAGUUACCAAGCUUACUAUCUGAAAAGAGUAGAAAACCCAUGUUGAAAAAUGUCCAGGUCACUUUUCUGUAGUUUCAGUUCAUCUUUAAAAAGUGAAACAAGGAGUUCCUGUCGUGGCUCAGUGGUUUACGAAUCCAGCUAGGAAUCAUGAGUUUGCGGGUUCGAUCCCUGGCCUUGCUCAGUGGGUUAAAGGAUCCGGCAUUGCAGUGAGCUGUGGUGUAGGUCACAGAUGCAGCUCGGAUCUGGGGUUGCCGUGGCUCUGAGGUAGGCCGGCAGCAACAGCCCUGAUUCGAUCCCUAGCCUGGAAACCUCCUUGUGCCACGGGUGUGGCCCCAGAAAAGAGAAAAAGACCAAAAAAAAAAAAAAAAAAAAAAAAAAAAAACAACAAAAAAAAAAGGGAAACAAUUUCAAAAGUUCUAAGAGAUGUAUAUAAUGUUUGAUAUUUCAAACACACAUGAACACAAACUCAAGUACAAAAAAAAUUUAAGAAUUGCUUCAAUUACCAGAGAUGAGAUAAUCAUUAACCAGUGCGUGGACUAGAGCUAAUUAGGAUAAUGAAAGUCAAAAUGAGUAAAAUUAAGGAAAAAAAGGAGUGAGGAAGGUAGCUAAAGAAGCAAGGUGUGAAAUAAAGGGGAAAUUUUUUCGUCUUUCUUUUGUUUGUUGUUUUAUUUGUCCUGAAGAAGCUUCAAAAAGUAAGAUGAAUAUUGAAUAUUACAUUUGUGACACUCUGUAAUUAGUCACCAAUAGGAAGUACUUUAUUGUAUUGGUUAUUAAAUGUCAAGCUCCUCUACAUUGAGGUCAAGAAUUUCAGGGACACAACAGGGAAAAGAGAAGAAAAGUAAGUGAUAUAGAAAGAAGAGUUGAGGAGCAGUCAUUAAAGUGACAGGGAUUAGAAACAGAGACAAAUCUUAGAGACUUUUAAACAUUAAGUCCUCUUAAAAUCAGACAAGAUUGUGAAAGGAAAGGACAGAGGCAGAAAUAGUAGGAUAACUCUGUACCAUUUUCUAGGACACGAGUUAAUGGACUUUUUAUGCAGAUGAUCAGAUAGUAAAUAUUUCAGGUUUUGUGUGCUACGUAAAUCUCUGUGGCAUAUUUUUGUCGUUGCUGUUCCCGUCCUUUAAAAAUGGAAAAACCUUUCUUAGCUUAGAGUCAUAUGAAAACAGGUUGUAGGUUGGAUUUCACUUGCAAGCCAUAGUUUACUGACAGUUGCAGACAGUAAGGAGAAUAGAGGAGUCAAAGAGGAAGUAGCCCUUCAGAUUUAGCUAUCUCUUAAGCAUCUGGGUGUUGUGCUGUGUGUACUAGAAACACACAACAUUAGCACAACUCAGCAGUGAAAAGUCAAGCCAAAUUAUAUUAAGGUCAGUAGCCUUCUAGAUUAUUACUACAUUCUGGUAGCACCAUUCUACAGGCAUGUCUGCCAGUAUGGAAAUU